UACGGAGGGUGCAAACGUUGCUCGGAAUCAUUGGGCGUAAAGCGCACGUAGGCGGACUGGUAAGUCGGAUGUGAAAGCCCUCGGCUUAACCGAGGAAGUGCAUUCGAAACUGCUAGUCUUGAGUACGGGAGAGGGUCGCGGAAUCCCGGUGUAGAGGUGAAAUUCGUAGAUAUCGGGAGGAACACCAGUGGCGAAGGCGGCGACCUGGACCGAUACUGACGCUGAGGUGCGAAAGCGUGGGGAGCGAACCGG
Molecule: unclassified non-coding RNA, 252 nt
Filed under: uncultured Kofleriaceae bacterium
Lineage: Bacteria; Pseudomonadati; Myxococcota; Haliangiales; Kofleriaceae
Description: contains 16S-23S intergenic spacer region
Rfam family: Bacterial small subunit ribosomal RNA
Source: RNAcentral